Molecule: small nuclear RNA, 107 nt
Organism: Vulpes vulpes (red fox)
Lineage: Eukaryota; Metazoa; Chordata; Mammalia; Carnivora; Canidae
Source: Ensembl
AUGCUCAUUUCAGCAGCCCAUAGACUAAAAUUGGAAUGAUACAGAUUAGAAUAGCAUGGCCCCUGUAUAAGGAUGACACAAAAAUUUGUGAAGCAGUCCAUAUUUUU